RNAcentral lists this ribosomal RNA (303 nucleotides) under uncultured bacterium. RNAcentral's name for it is "partial 16S ribosomal RNA". It matches the Rfam family "Bacterial small subunit ribosomal RNA", at positions 507 to 808 of the family's 1533-position model. The record is from RNAcentral.
AGCAGUAGCCGCGGUAAUACGAAGGGGGCUAGCGUUGUUCGGAUUUACUGGGCGUAAAGGGUGCGUAGGCGGAUUGUUAAGUCAGGGGUGAAAUCCCGAGGCUCAACCUCGGAACUGCCUUUGAUACUGGCGAUCUUGAGUCUGGGAGAGGUGAGUGGAACUGCGAGUGUAGAGGUGAAAUUCGUAGAUAUUCGCAAGAACACCGGUGGCGAAGGCGGCUCACUGGCCCGGUACUGACGCUGAGGCACGAAAGCGUGGGGAGCAAACAGGAUUAGAUACCCCGUAGUCCCUGUCUCUUAUACA